UGGGGGUAGAUCAGUUAGUAGAGCAUGAGACUCUUAAUCCCAGGGUCGUAGGUUUGAGCCCCACAUUGGGUGAAAG
This is a non-coding RNA of Podarcis lilfordi (Lilford's wall lizard), 76 nucleotides long. NCBI's taxonomy places the organism in Eukaryota, Metazoa, Chordata, Lepidosauria, Squamata, Lacertidae. The record is from the annotation of a GenBank genome assembly.